Molecule: ribosomal RNA, 255 nt
Filed under: uncultured bacterium
Lineage: Bacteria
Description: partial 16S ribosomal RNA
Rfam family: Bacterial small subunit ribosomal RNA
Source: RNAcentral
CGGACGGGUGAGUAACGCGUGGGUAACCUGCCCUGUACAGGGGGACAACAGCCGGAAACGGCUGCUAAUACCGCAUAAGCCUGCGGGGCCGCAUGGCCCGGCAGGAAAAGCUGCGGCGGUACAGGAUGGGCCCGCGUCUGAUUAGCCAGUUGGCGGGGUAACGGCCCACCAAAGCGAUGAUCAGUAGCCGGCUUGAGAGAGCGAACGGCCACAUUGGGACUGAGACACGGCCCAGACUCCUACGGAAGGCAGCAG